CCAGCCUCAGGACCGCUUUCCUUCCUCCGCCCAUUGCUCCCAGUCGCGUCCCUUCCCGGCCGCCGUAGAGCAAGCGACGCGGGAGUUCGGCAGUCGCGUCGCCUAGGCAACGGCUCGGCGGCGGGCUGCGGGCGCCAGGCGGCCCCGGGGAGGCGCUCGCGCCGGCGGCCGGGGCUCUACGAGGCGACAAGGCGGCAGGAAGCUGAAUGCAGUGGAGGCUGUUGUAGACCUUCAGAGGUGAUCAGAGAGAGAGGAUUACACUAGAAGGUUACUUCCAAAAGGAGGUAUGUAGCUUGCCUUUUGUCUUGGCCAGAAGACUAGUCUGGUGUGUGUGCCUAGUGUUAGGAAAACGGUGCCUUGAGGAGACAGCCAAACUUCUAGAGACUCUCCCAAGAAUUUCAGGCUGGAAGGGAGUCCAAAAGGUAGCAAGAGUGUCUACUUGAUGUUUGAAGGAUAAGCUUCGGCUCUUCUUGACAGACUUUUUUAGGGUCGGAGGUGGCGUUAUGGGUAAAGUUUUAGGAUGUUUGCUUUUUAUUUUUUGUGAACCUUCAAGGGAUUUGUUUGUUUUAAUACAGGAUUUUGUGGCCUACAGUCUGGUCUUGAUUAAUGCUGCUGUGUAGCUGAGGCUUUGCCUUGAACUCCUGACUCUCAUGUCUCUGCUCCUGAGUUUGUGAGCUUGCAGAGGCGUCUAAUUAGAAGCGGGUGAGCGUGUGCGCAUGCGCUUCCGCGAUUCUAUGCGCGCCCUUGAUCAGAAGUAGACCUCUCACCCUCUUUGGUCUCCUUGCUAUUAUUUUUUGCUUUGCAGCCAGUUCUUUAUGGCGAUUCAAAACAAAAACAAAAACAGAUAUUGACAAUUAUCUUAGACCUUUUUUUCAUUAUUAAAACUACAUACUCG
RNAcentral lists this long non-coding RNA (895 nucleotides) under Mus spicilegus (steppe mouse). Its description in RNAcentral is "lncRNA (ENSMSIG00000028613.1)". Lineage: Eukaryota; Metazoa; Chordata; Mammalia; Rodentia; Muridae. The record is from RNAcentral.